CCUCCGGGUGGCAGCAGUGAGGAAUAUUGGUCAAUGGGCGCGAGCCUGAACCAGCCAAGUAGCGUGAAGGAUGACUGCCCUACGGGUUGUAAACUUCUUUUAUAAAGGAAUAAAGUGCUUCACGUGUGCCUUUUUGUCUGUACUUUAUGAAUAAGGAUCGGCUAAAUCCUUGCCAGCAGCCGCGGUAAUACGGAUGGUGCGAGCGUUAUCCGGAUUUAUUUGGUUUAAAGGGAUCGAAGAGGGGUUGUUAAGUCAGUUGUGAAAGUUUAGGGCUCAACCGGGAAAUUGCAAUUGAUACUGGCAUGCUUGAGUACAGGUGAGGUAGGCGGAAUUCGUGGUGUAGCGGUGAAAUGCUUAGAUAUAACGAAGAACUCCGAUUGCGAAGGCAGCUUAAUAAACUGCAACUGACAUUGAUGCUCGAAAGUGUGGGUAUCAAACAGGAUUAGAUACCCGUGUAGUC
RNAcentral lists this ribosomal RNA (460 nucleotides) under uncultured bacterium. Its description in RNAcentral is "partial 16S ribosomal RNA". It matches the Rfam family "Bacterial small subunit ribosomal RNA", at positions 338 to 795 of the family's 1533-position model. The record is from RNAcentral.